GAACCCUUGGCACAGUGGUAGCGCGUGAGAUUCCAGACGGUGGAGUAGCUGCCCACCUCAGGGAAAUCCUCAAGGUCGUCCGUUCGAUCCGGGCAGGGUUCA
Non-coding RNA from Trametes polyzona, 102 nucleotides. The record is from the annotation of a GenBank genome assembly. NCBI's taxonomy places the organism in Eukaryota, Fungi, Basidiomycota, Agaricomycetes, Polyporales, Polyporaceae.